Molecule: ribosomal RNA, 398 nt
Filed under: Conocephalus gladiatus
Lineage: Eukaryota; Metazoa; Arthropoda; Insecta; Orthoptera; Tettigoniidae
Description: partial 12S ribosomal RNA
Source: RNAcentral
UAAGGUUUAUUUUGUGAGUUAGACAUUUUUGACCUAUUCUCUAAUAAGUUUCCUAGAAAGUUUUAUUCUUGCUUGAAUGUUUGCUUGUUGAAUGAUUUACAUGAAAAUAUAUGUGAGGGAGAAAAAUGUCUUAAAGGUAGUAUUAAUUAAUCUCAGUAUUUAGUAUUAAUAAUCAAGGGAACUUGGAAUUAGUAAUUUAAUAUAAGAUCGGCUAAAUUUGUGCCAGCCGCCGCGGUUAGACUUGGGAUUUAAGUAAAUAGUAUUGGUAUGAAAGUUAACUAUAUGAUAUAUAAAACGUAUAAUUCUCUUUUGAAGGUGGAAUUUUUAGAAGAGUUAUAAGGUUUAUUGGAGUGAAGCUUUGAAAUUUAAAUAAUAAACUAGGAUUAGAUACCCGAUUA